Molecule: ribosomal RNA, 512 nt
Filed under: uncultured bacterium
Lineage: Bacteria
Description: partial 16S ribosomal RNA
Rfam family: Bacterial small subunit ribosomal RNA
Source: RNAcentral
GACAAACGCUGGCGGCGUGCCUAAUACAUGCAAGUCGAGCGAGCGGAACUAACAGAUUUACUUCGGUAAUGACGUUAGGAAAGCGAGCGGCGGAUGGGUGAGUAACACGUGGGGAACCUGCCCCAUAGUCUGGGAUACCACUUGGAAACAGGUGCUAAUACCGGAUAAGAAAGCAGAUCGCAUGAUCAGCUUUUAAAAGGCGGCGUAAGCUGUCGCUAUGGGAUGGCCCCGCGGUGCAUUAGCUAGUUGGUAAGGUAAAGGCUUACCAAGGCGAUGAUGCAUAGCCGAGUUGAGAGACUGAUCGGCCACAUUGGGACUGAGACACGGCCCAAACUCCUACGGGAGGCAGCAGUAGGGAAUCUUCCACAAAGGACGCAAGUCUGAUGGAGCAACGCCGCGUGAGUGAAGAAGGUUUUCGGAUCGUAAAGCUCUGUUGUUGGUGAAGAAGGAUAGAGGUAGUAACUGGCCUUUAUUUGACGGUAAUCAACCAGAAAGUCACGGCUAACUACGUG